UAAAAGCCUACCAAGGCAUAGGUCGGUAGCCGGCCUAGGAGGGCACACGGCAACACUGGCACUGAAACACGGGCAAUACUCCUACGGGCGGCAGCAGUGGGGAAUCUUGCACAAUGGGGACCACGCUGCUGCAGCGACGCCGCGUGAGCGAUGAAGCUCCUCGGGGUGUAAAGCUCUUUCGGCAGAGAAGAUAGUGACGGUACCUGCAGCAGCAGCUGCUGUUACUACCUGCCAGCAGCCGCGGUACUACGUAGGCGGCGAGCGUUGUUCGUUGUUACUGGUCGUAAAAGGGUGUGUCGGCUGUUUGUAUAAGUUUUGUUGUGAAAUCUCGCGGCUCAGGGUGGGGAGGCGUGCCGCCAGACUACUGGAGCUACUAGACGUGCGGGGAGAGGAAAAGAGUAACCUUGCUGGUUGUAGCGGAUGAAAAUG
Molecule: ribosomal RNA, 429 nt
Filed under: uncultured soil bacterium
Lineage: Bacteria
Description: bacterial SSU rRNA
Rfam family: Bacterial small subunit ribosomal RNA
Source: RNAcentral